This 442-nucleotide ribosomal RNA is filed under the name Salmonella enterica subsp. enterica serovar Anatum. RNAcentral's name for it is "bacterial SSU rRNA". It matches the Rfam family "Bacterial small subunit ribosomal RNA", at positions 338 to 795 of the family's 1533-position model. The record is from RNAcentral. Lineage: Bacteria; Pseudomonadati; Pseudomonadota; Gammaproteobacteria; Enterobacterales; Enterobacteriaceae.
CCUACGGGAGGCAGCAGUGGGGAAUAUUGCACAAUGGGCGAAAGCCUGAUGCAGCAACGCCGCGUGAGUGAUGAAGGCCUUCGGGUCGUAAAGCUCUGUCUUUGGGGACGAAAAAAAUGACGGUACCCUUGGAGGAAGCCCCGGCUAACUACGUGCCAGCAGCCGCGGUAAUACGUAGGGGGCAAGCGUUAUCCGGAAUUACUGGGCGUAAAGAGUGCGUAGGUGGUUUUGUAAGCGCGGGGUGAAAGGCUAUGGCUCAACCAUAGUAAGCCUUGCGAACUGUGAGACUUGAGUGCAGGAGAGGGAAGUGGAAUUCCUAGUGUAGCGGUGAAAUGCGUAGAUAUUGGGAAGAACACCAGUGGCGAAGGCGACUUACUGGACUGAAACUGACACUGAGGCUCGAAAGCGUGGGGAGCGAACAGGAUUAGAUACCCGUGUAGUC